AGGUAUGCUAAUUUUAUGUGAAAUUUUAUGAUAAUCCAAUAGUGCAAUUGGGAGAUAUUUGGGUUUUGGUACAAGAAUGUACCAGAAGUUGACAGUUUGGAGUUGGAUAGAAUUUCUAUGAUAACUAAAGAUCUACUAAUUGGAUCAAGGUGAAAUUUAGCAUGGUAUUAGAAGACUUGAAGAUUAAGCUACAUAUCACUUUUGAAUUGAAGUUAACAUUUGAAGAAGGAUAAAUUAUUAAUAAAACACUUGCAUCAACUUUCAAGUUGGUGGCCAUGUAAUAUUAGUGUGAUUUUUGAGUAUUUUCUCACAAUCUGUAAGUUGGAUUGGAGUGAAUUCUUAUCAAGCACAUAGA
This 355-nucleotide long non-coding RNA is filed under the name Physcomitrium patens. Its description in RNAcentral is "long non-coding RNA (PPAT_LNC012692)". The record is from RNAcentral. Lineage: Eukaryota; Viridiplantae; Streptophyta; Bryopsida; Funariales; Funariaceae.